UUUCUUGCACCAUCACGAUUGCGCCGAGUUGAUCUCGGCGAUAACGUGUACGGCGCACGAAGGAAAGACGCCUGGGCGCAGUAGCGCAUGCGCGAAGAGCUGAUAAUCGUCAGUGAAAUAUACAUAUAAGAAGCGGCCGCCGGGAGGCCCGCCCGUCAUACUGAAUUUGACGCUACGCCAUGCUAAUACUGUCGCCCGUGUCAGCUGAAUCAGCGAUUGACGACUUUUGACGCCAUAUAUACCACUUCACCGACUCCUUUCACCGCCUGGUUCUAAGCUGAGAGGCGUCCUCGAAGCAUUGCCUCGUGGCUACUCCUAUUAUGACAUCAACUUCUGCAAGCGCGGUUACGAGGCUUAGCACGACCCAUUGGGGCUCCUGGAAUGCAUAUGUUACGCCCGGCGGCCAUUUCAUCCCUUCUCACGCAUGAGCUGUCACGCUUGACGCAAACGCUUCGGUUGCUGUCUUAAGUCGCGCCUGCAGUCAAGUUUUCUUUUGUUCGUGUGCGCCUGGAUAUGAAUUGACAGUGCCAAUCAACCGGGGGACAACGAAACAACUGUCGUCGCCACGUGCCUCACCAGCUAACCUACAAGGUGAAUCCCGUGCAACCAAGUGACCGUGUCACUACUCCGGGGAACAACGCAACCACGUGACCGUGGCACUUCUCCGAGGGACAACGGAGCAACCGACGUCGCUACGUUCGAUCUUCGGCAGUUAUAUUCACCAGGUGCGAUUCUAGCUUGCGAGGGUGGCGCGGCCAUAAAUCAACUAACUGGCAAUGUCAAUUGUUUUAGACUGAUUGGCAAGAGAAGGCCGCUGCCACAAUGGGUCGUCGUCGUGACGGAAGCGGAGAGGACUGGGCGGGGCGAUUGUAGCUUUAGGCUUAGCUAACACUAGGAAGGGUAGCUCACGCUGCGCAGGCUCCAGCUGGCAGGGGUCCUCUCUCGUUUGCGACACGGACGUCGGCCCAUUCCGAGUGCUAUUGCUUCCCGGUCAUAAUUUCGCGUGUCGGCGCGCGCGAAAUGUGGAAGUAAAUUGCACCCGGAAUUAAUUAGUGCCAGGUUUCUUCCAGCAAAACAGAAGAAGAACGGACGUUGCCUACGGUCUGCAGCGCGGUGCGCUGCGGCGAAGACAGUGGUGGGUGGCCGCAUUUUCUUUUGCCUUCCGUAUGUUCUCGUCCCUAUUGCUGUGUCACGCCGUGCUUUCGUCGCUCGACAAGCCAACCAUCGUGGACUAGUCCCAUCGCCCACGCCAGCGCAAUGACGCUUGUCAUGGUGAGUACGUGCUUUCUGGUUACUUUCGUGAUUUAACAAGUGCCCCCCCCCCCUUUUUUUUUUAGGUUUCAGAUCUGCAACCUGUGCCUUGGCUUGGCCCCUGGCACAUGUUCCUGCACCCGGCCGUGUCCCGCACUGAGCACGUUCAGCACCAAUCUGUCAUCCAGCAGCUGAUCGGGACUUCACUUCUGUUCCUGCCUCACUGAUAUUGGUUUCCGGCUGAAUGAAGAUGCCUGCAAUAUCUGUGCUGCAGUACGUCGACUGCUCUGCGCAUCCUUUGGUGCCAGACGAAUGCGACGGAUUUUCCUGCAGCCGGCCGUGUCUCGCACAGAUGAUGUUCAGCACCUGUCGUCCCACGUCUGACCGCGUCACUUCUGUUCCUGCCUCACUGCUGUUGGUGUCCUGCUGAAUGAAGUUGCCUGCAAUCCAUGCCCUGCAGAACGUCCAUUGCACUCUGCAACCCUUGUCUUGACAUCUGCCGCCCAUCAAGGCCUGUCCCACCAGCGUAUAGUAGGCAAUGACACCAAGUCAAGACCGUAGGGAGGCAAGCGUUUCUCUCGCCACUCAUCGCAUUGCUGCUCCCGAAAACGUCGUGCUGCAGGUUCGCUGCCUCGACGAGGCCACAAAACUGUGAAGUCCCAAGAAACAGCACGACGUAGCGUGACAUGAAUGCUCAUCUAACAUUCCGGUUGGAGUUGUUCGUUCCACCCUAUAGCAGUAUGACGGCCACUCGAUGAACUCGCACGUUAUUCAGUGGCUGUGACCGUAUGACGUGAGUACCGAAAAAUGCCAGGUAGCAUGCUGUUCUAGCUCAUCGUAGUAGUACACUGCUCAGAAUCUAGCAAUUGGGUUGUUCUGGGGAUUCUUGCUUCUUACGCUCACUAACAUUCUGUGCUUUUGUAAUGGUACACCGAUGCUGCUUUGCGUUG
Long non-coding RNA from Dermacentor silvarum, 2201 nucleotides. RefSeq lists it as uncharacterized. The transcript has 4 exons. NCBI's taxonomy places the organism in Eukaryota, Metazoa, Arthropoda, Arachnida, Ixodida, Ixodidae. The record is from RefSeq and is a predicted model, not a curated record.